This 255-nucleotide ribosomal RNA is filed under the name uncultured bacterium. RNAcentral's name for it is "partial 16S ribosomal RNA". It matches the Rfam family "Bacterial small subunit ribosomal RNA", at positions 524 to 777 of the family's 1533-position model. The record is from RNAcentral.
UACGAAGGGGGCUAGCGUUGCUCGGAAUCACUGGGCGUAAAGGGCGCGUAGGCGGCCAUUCAAGUCAGAGGUGAAAGCCCAAGGCUCAACCUUGGAACUGCCUUUGAUACUGUUUGGCUUGAGACCGGUAGAGGUAAGUGGAACUGCGAGUGUAGAGGUGAAAUUCGUAGAUAUUCGCAAGAACACCAGUGGCGAAGGCGGCUUACUGGACCGGUUCUGGACGCUGAGGCGCGAAAGCGUGGGGAGCAAACAGGG